UCAAGGAGAUAUCUAGGAGACUAUUUCAACAAUCCAGCAAUGAUGAUGUCUUGGCCCAGGACGAUGGUUGUGGGGGUGGUGAGAAGUGGUGGUGAAUUCUCAUAUUCCCUCUCUCUCUCUCGCCUCCACCCCACCACACAUACACACCCGCACAUGCUGAUGGCAGAACUGACAAGGUUUGCUGAUAAGCUAUGUGAUGUUACAUGCGCGUUAAAGAGAAGACUCAAGGAUAACAUCAAGCUUUUUUACAGAUGAAGGCACCAAGUUAAAUUGGCAAAGAAGAAUUCAAUCCCAGACAGACAGUUGACUCAGCAAGGUCACCCACCAUCUGAGCAAUCUUGUUCCGGGUAGCUGCCAAGCCUCCAUCGAACUAAAUUUAAUUCAUCUCCACCAAGUUCAUGGUACUGUCAUGGCCACCCUAAGAAGAAAACAGUUAUCAGCAGGUCAUCUGUGGAAGGAGUCUUCAAUGCAUAGUUAUCUUGUAGCUGGUUUAAUUGAAAGAGGACUGGACCCUACAGUAACAGACCCUGGUGUUUAACAGGCAAACGGGAAACGACCAGUAGAACUCAAUGGUGUUCUUGAUAACAGCUGUGUCGGCAGAGUGAUGGGGUGCUUUCAGUGGGUCAGAAAGGAAAGCCAGACACUGAAGAUAGGUAAGUAUGGACAAACAUUUGAAGGAGUUUUGCUAAAAAGUUAUAAGGAAAACAGAA
Long non-coding RNA from Dama dama (fallow deer), 710 nucleotides. RefSeq lists it as uncharacterized. Lineage: Eukaryota; Metazoa; Chordata; Mammalia; Artiodactyla; Cervidae. The transcript is spliced from 3 exons. The record is from RefSeq and is a predicted model, not a curated record.